RNAcentral lists this ribosomal RNA (403 nucleotides) under uncultured bacterium. RNAcentral's name for it is "partial 16S ribosomal RNA". It matches the Rfam family "Bacterial small subunit ribosomal RNA", at positions 28 to 526 of the family's 1533-position model. The record is from RNAcentral.
GACGAACGCUGGCGGCGUGCCUAAUACAUGCAAGUCGAACGCAGUGGGGACGGGUGAGUAACACGUGGGUAACCUCCCAUCAGAGGGGAUAACACUUGGAAACAGGUGCUAAACCGCUACUGAUGGAUGGACCCGCGGUGCAUUGGCUAGUUGGUGCGGUAACGGCUCACCAAGGCCACGAUGCAUAGCUGGCCUUGGAGGGUGAUCGGCCACUCGGGGAUGGAGACACGGCCCUGACUCCUACGGGAGGAAGCAGUAAGGAAUCUUCGGCAAUGGACGAAAGUCGGACCGAGCAACGCCGCGUGAGUGAAGAAGGUUUUCGGAUCGUAAAACUCUGUUGUUAGAGAAGCGGUAUCUAACCAGAAAGCCACGGCUAACUACGUGCCAGCAGCCGCGGUAAUUC